RNAcentral lists this ribosomal RNA (497 nucleotides) under uncultured bacterium. RNAcentral describes it as "partial 16S ribosomal RNA". It matches the Rfam family "Bacterial small subunit ribosomal RNA", at positions 28 to 507 of the family's 1533-position model. The record is from RNAcentral.
GAUGAACGCUGGCGGCGUGCCUAAUACAUGCAAGUCGAGCGAACGGACGAGAAGCUUGCUUUUCUGAUGUUAGCGGCGGACGGGUGAGUAACACGUGGAUAACCUACCUAUAAGACUGGGAUAACUUCGGGAAACCGGAGCUAAUACCGGAUAAUAUUUUGAACCGCAUGGUUCAAAAGUGAAAGACGGUCUUGCUGUCACUUAUAGAUGGAUCCGCGCUGCAUUAGCUAGUUGGUAAGGUAACGGCUUACCAAGGCAACGAUGCAUAGCCGACCUGAGAGGGUGAUCGGCCACACUGGAACUGAGACACGGUCCAGACUCGUACGGGAGGCAGCAGUAGGGAAUCUUCCGCAAUGGGCGAAAGCCUGACGGAGCAACGCCGCGUGAGUGAUGAAGGUCUUCGGAUCGUAAAACUCUGUUAUUAGGGAAGAACAUAUGUGUAAGUAACUGUGCACAUCUUGACGGUACCUAAUCAGAAAGCCACGGCUAACUACGUG